UGCGCGAAUGCCAUUCAUUAUACAGGUCAAAGUUUAAAUGGAUAUUUACAUCCGGUGGUCAUACACACGUGCAAUUAUAUAUGAAGAGCUACUUUCAGUUUUACCUGUCAGCUUAAACUGUCAAAGGUUACAGACCAGGAAGGAUCCUCUCCUUAUUCAUUGUUUCAUCGUAGCUUAAGGAAGCCAUCAUGUUCAAGAAGCCAUUUCAUGUCAAGUCCAAUGCGGCGAUGAAAGGAUCUGACAAGCGUAAGAUGAAGACCUCUGUGCUGCAGCAGUUCAGUGAGAUCACCUCUGUCCAGGUGGACUCCAUCUUCCCUAACAAAUCCCAGACGACCACCAUGAAGAUACAAACACAUACAGGGGAACAUAUGAUGGUCUACUGUGCAGAUGGAGUGCCGGCUUUUUUUGAGAAUGAGAAAGUUCUUUAUCCUACUGUUUACACACUCUGGAAAUGUCCAUCAUUGCUGCCAUGUCUUAGUACAUACGCCCCUGUUAUAGAGAAGAUGGCUGGUGGAGCAGAUCUAAUGCUACCAGGUGUAGUCUUCGCAGAGACGGGACUUCCCCCUCUGGAGAAAUCACAACUAUGCAGUGUGAAUGUCGUUGGUAACUUGGCUCCAGUCGCCAUAGGAACAGCAUCUGUCUCCUCAGAAGAUAUGCUGGGUAGAGCAAUGAAAGGAAAAGGAGUACUCACUCUGCACUGUAUAGGGGAUCAUCUGUGGGAAAGCGGUGGUAAACUAAAACCACCGCAAAUCAACCCAAUCAGUCGAGACUCUCCACCUCCGGGUGAAAGUGCCAUCGCCGCCCAGAACUCUGCGGGAAGUAACAAUAAUAAUGAGAAUAUGGAAAGAACUGAAGGCUUAGAGAGCCAAAGUGCCAUUGAUGGUGGACAUGUAUGUGAAGGAAACGGAGAAGGAGGUGGUUUAAAGGAGGAUUUAGUUGGUCUGUCCCUGGAUGCAGGAGCAGUCGGAGGAGAGCCGGAACCGGUAGAAGAUGAAGGGGAUGGAGUCUCACCUGUAGACGCCAUGGAUGAAUGUCUCUACCAGUGUUUAUUGCAUAGCGUCAAGAAGAAAGUGAAGCCCUCAGACUUGCCUUUGCUGACUAGCUCAUUAUAUAGGAAUUAUAUGCAGACAUCCUGUCCAGAAGGGAAGACUCUGGAUCUGAAGAAGUCGAGCUACAAGAAGCUGUCCAAGUUCCUGCGCGCCAUGCAGGAGAGACGUCUCCUGGACGUGAGGGAGCUGAGCAAGGGUGUGGACAGCAUCACAGCGGUCUACAAAGACCAUGAUGAGCUAAGGUCCUUUGUACCUCUUGUUGAUUCUGGUGAUUCCGAUGAGCAGACGGAUGCAGCGUCGUCCAACCCAUCCUCCAGCUCAAAGGCACCCGAAGGACCACCAGAGAUCAGGCAGUUCUAUUCAGUCAUGCCCAACCAAGCACCAGUACUCCAACACAGUGGAUACAAGAGAGGUGAUUGGAUGACCAAGGAAGAUGUCAGGAAUGCCAUUACAGCUUACAUCAAGAAUGAGAGCUUAAUAGAUCAAAAUGACUACAGCCAUGUGAUGUUAGACCCUAUUCUCCAUGAUGCAGCCAUAAAGAAGUCGGAGGGUAGUGUCAGUCAUCUCAAAUGGGAUCAGCUUUUCACCAGAUUCUUGCACAAGAUGAAUCCUGGCUAUCAGAUACUCUUCCCCAGCGAUCUUUCUGCCAAAGUUCAACCUCGGAUUCACAAAGGCCAGGUCCAACCAAUCAUACUCAAAUUGGAACGAAAGGGAGGCAACAAAUGGAUCACAGUGAUCCAGAACUUGGAGCAGUUCAGUCUGGACCCCAAGGAGUUUGGCCAUCGGCUCCAGAUAGCUGUAGCAGCCAGUACUACAGUGGGUGAAGGCCCCAAUGCCAAGUCUGGCCUACAGGUGACAGUGCAGGGAAACCAACUCAAAUUCCUUGACAAAUUUCUCACAGGUCACUACAAGAUACCCAGGAGGUAUAUUGAUGGGCUAGAACAGACUGCCAAGGGCAAAGGAAAGGGCAAGAGAUGAUAGAGGCUAUCAUUCUAGGUUCAUAUUAUUUAAUUUACCGGCGAUAGUUAAUGUUAAAUGUCACAUUUGGCAUGCAUAUAAUGCAUUAAAGACGCAUAGUUGUAGGCUCUCAAGGGGAAUUUGACCCAUUCGGGAGUUUACCCAAUAAUAGGUGUUUUCAAUCACCAGUAUUAGGCUUCAGUUUUAUGACCAACAGGCCUUAUGUAAUGCUCUCUAUUUUCCACCUAUCGCCCUAAAUGGAAAAUUCAUUAUCUUACAAUUCCCUCUUGAUGGGACUACGGGUUUGCUGUGUGCAGACAGUGUACACUCAUUAAUGGUAUUUCCACCAAGUCUGGUGUCAGCGAAUUAUGACCUGCACAUGGAAAUUGCUGACCCUCUCCCUUUUAUUUUAGUAUUGUAAUAGAUUUAUGAACGUCUUGUUGGCCUUUCGAAGCUGGGAAAUCAGCAUUGGCUUAUAAAUGUUUUUAGAUGUGAAAAGUGACGGUGCUAUAUUUUUUCCGUAGUUUUUAAUUCUACAUUUUAAACUCUGUGCUUUUAAAGUCAGUGUUGUCCUAAAAAUUCAUUAUAAUUAGACAGUUUAGUCAUGUCAUAAAAGUACAAAACAAAACAAAAAUAUGUUAAAAUCUAAAGCAUACUUAAUAUAAACGGUAUACUGCUUUAAAUAUGAAGUUGAGUUCUGGUCAUGUGAUUGCAUUGUGAAAGAAAUGGUGUGGAAUCGACCAGAAAAGGUUGAUCA
This 2763-nucleotide long non-coding RNA is filed under the name Strongylocentrotus purpuratus (purple sea urchin). RNAcentral describes it as "eukaryotic translation initiation factor 2D, transcript variant X2". The record is from RNAcentral. Lineage: Eukaryota; Metazoa; Echinodermata; Echinoidea; Camarodonta; Strongylocentrotidae.